CCUACGGGAGGCAGCAGUGGGGAAUCUUGCGCAAUGGGCGAAAGCCUGACGCAGCGACGCCGCGUGGGCGAAGAAGGCCUUCGGGUUGUAAAGCCCUGUGGGGGAGAACGAACCGUACGGGGGCGAAUACCCUCCGUGCCUGACGGUACUCCUUUAGCAAGCAUCGGCUAACUCUGUGCCAGCAGCCGCGGUAAGACAGAGGAUGCAAACGUUGCUCGGAAUUACUGGGCGUAAAGCGCGUGUAGGCGGUCUGGUAAGUCGGACGUGAAAUCCCGGGGCUCAACCCCGGAAGUGCGCUCGAUACUGCCGGACUUGGGUUCUGAAGAGGAGAGCGGAAUUCCCGGUGUAGAGGUGAAAUUCGUAGAUAUCGGGAGGAACACCAGUGGCGAAGGCGGCUCUCUGGGCAGAUACCGACGCUGAGACGCGAAAGCGUGGGAAGCAAACAGGCUUAGAUACCCCAGUAGUC
Molecule: ribosomal RNA, 466 nt
Filed under: uncultured Myxococcales bacterium
Lineage: Bacteria; Pseudomonadati; Myxococcota; Myxococcia; Myxococcales
Description: bacterial SSU rRNA
Rfam family: Bacterial small subunit ribosomal RNA
Source: RNAcentral